GUUCCCAUGCCGAACACGAAGGUUAAGCUUCAAAGCGCUGAUGGUACUGCAGGGGAGGCCCUGUGGAAGAGUAAGUCGUUGCCAGAU
Molecule: ribosomal RNA, 87 nt
Filed under: Clostridium botulinum
Lineage: Bacteria; Bacillati; Bacillota; Clostridia; Eubacteriales; Clostridiaceae
Also listed under: 1 other name
Source: RNAcentral